AGAGUCGGUCAGGCAAUCGCUCUUUGCUUUUGCAAAGGGAGGAAAGUCCGGGCUCCAAAGGGCAGGGUGCCAGGUAACUCCUGGGAGGUGUGAACCUACGGAAAGUGCCACAGAAAAUAUACCGCCCACAUGCUUGUCGUGUUGAGAUAACCUCUUAACACGAUCAAAGUAUGCGGGUAAGGGUGAAAUGGUGCGGUAAGAGCGCACCGCACGAUUGGCAACAGUCGUGGCAGGGAAAACCCCACCCGGAGCAAGACCAAAUAGGAAUCCAUUUGACUGCAAAGUCAUAACGUGCGGCCCGUACGGGAUUCGGGUAGGUUGCUUGAGGCACACGGUGACGUGUGUCCCAGAUGAAUGAUUGUCCGCGACAGAACCCGGCUUAUCGACCGACUCCUCAU
RNAcentral lists this RNase P RNA (398 nucleotides) under Legionella worsleiensis. RNAcentral describes it as "Bacterial RNase P class A". It matches the Rfam family "Bacterial RNase P class A". Rfam says of the family: Ribonuclease P (RNase P) is a ubiquitous endoribonuclease, found in archaea, bacteria and eukarya as well as chloroplasts and mitochondria. Its best characterised activity is the generation of mature 5'-ends of tRNAs by cleaving the 5'-leader elements of precursor-tRNAs. The record is from Rfam by way of RNAcentral. Lineage: Bacteria; Pseudomonadati; Pseudomonadota; Gammaproteobacteria; Legionellales; Legionellaceae.